GCUGCGGGCGGGGAGCCCGGCCUCCGAGUCCGCCCGCGCCCAGGAGCCCGCGGGCCAGGGGGGACCCGCUUGCCAAGGAGGGGGCGGCCGGCGAGAGGGGCCUGGCCUGGUCGGCGCCGGGCCCUGCGGAGGGAGGGAAGCCGCGGCCAGGUGCAGUUCACGGCCCUCCGCGCCCCGCAGGUCGGAGACUCCCACCGGUUUCGUGUUUUGCCCAGACCCCUUGCUGGAGAUCCGCCUGCAGCUCCUGGCGCGGGACCUGAAGCUCGGCCUCUCCUCUGCUCUCCUGGGUUUGGCAAGUUGGCCUCGUAACUACUUCUCUUUUUGCCUUCCUCCUUUCUUUGCUGUGCUGUCGCGCCUUCCUGCCGCUCCUCGAGCUUCUGGGCUCACAGCGAGCUGGGCUCUGGAACCGCCUUCUCAUCCCCAUUCUUUAGGUCAAGAGACCUGGAGCUCGACAGCCCCCCGUCUGCUGGGACCGCCCUUUGGUCCUACUCAUGCUGACAUUUCUCCUUCCCACCUCGGUGCAGAAGAGGGAGCUGAAUGGGAAAUGCAGCAGCCAGGACAAACCAGCGCUUCUGUGGGAUGCUGGCUUUGCCAAGAGACGGCUUAACCCAGCGGGGCACAAUGCUAGCUGCCAUCCGAGGGUGCUUCUGCAAGUUUGUGGAAAAGUUAAGCUACAAGGCAUAAUCUUUUCCUAGUUUUCAAUAAUAAAAAGUGCAACAAAACAAAAAGCUUUUAAAAGAAACUAAGGCCAAAGAGACACCAACGACAGCUGGCAGAAGGAAACACCAGUGAACAAAGCACCAUGGAAGGAUCAUAGUGGAAAAUACAACCAAGACAAACAGUGCAGAGAAACAAGGUCCAGCUCCAAAUUACCUUUGUUAUAAAGUUUGAGUCUUUGUUGUACAGAUGUAAUGGCUCCCAGGACUGAAAGGCGGUUUACUCGGGACUUAAUGUUAGAUGCAGUUCCAAACUCAUCUGCUAACAUUUUUGCCACUCGGGAAAUCUGGUCUUUGGGAGGAAUGAUCAAUGAUAUCAUGCUGGUGCCAUUGCUGUGGAAGAAGGAAUAACUCAUUAGAGGUUCAAACACCCUAUAACUAGAGAGUGUAAGUUAAUUUAGUGAAGUGAGUUAGCCUGAAAUGCCUCUCAAGUAAUAGACAUAAGUCACUGCCAAGGUGACCAGGAAGCUGUGGACUUGUGUUACUCAGAGCUAGGAACAGUGUUCAGACCACUAAGUGUUUAGUUAUUUCAGUAAAUAAUGAGUGUAACUAAUUAUGUAAGGAGGAUACUUGAAGGGAAUUCAUGGGAAGCAUCUUAAUCCCCUAGGA
This is a long non-coding RNA of Ochotona princeps (American pika), 1325 nucleotides long. RefSeq lists it as uncharacterized. The transcript has 3 exons. Lineage: Eukaryota; Metazoa; Chordata; Mammalia; Lagomorpha; Ochotonidae. The record is from RefSeq and is a predicted model, not a curated record.